This 400-nucleotide ribosomal RNA is filed under the name Clavibacter michiganensis. Its description in RNAcentral is "bacterial SSU rRNA". It matches the Rfam family "Bacterial small subunit ribosomal RNA", at positions 130 to 1058 of the family's 1533-position model. The record is from RNAcentral. Lineage: Bacteria; Bacillati; Actinomycetota; Actinomycetes; Micrococcales; Microbacteriaceae.
CCCCGACUCUGGGAUAACUGCUAGAAAUGGUAGCUAAUACCGGAUAUGACGAUUGGCCGCAUGGUUCUGGUGUGGAAAGAAUUUCGGUUGGGGAUGGACUCGCGGCCUAUCAGGUUGUUGGUGAGGUAAUGGCUCACCAAGCCUACGACGGGUAGCCGGCCUGAGAGGGUGACCGCCACACUGGGACUGAGACACGGCCCAACGCAUUAAGUUCCGCCUGGGGAGUACGGCCGCAAGGCUAAAACUCAAAGGAAUUGACGGGGGCCCGCACAAGCGGCGGAGCAUGCGGAUUAAUUCGAUGCAACGCGAAGAACCUUACCAAGGCUUGACAUAUACCGGAAACGUGCAGAGAUGUGCGCCCCGCAAGGUCGGUAUACAGGUGGUGCAUGGUUGUCGUCAG